Molecule: ribosomal RNA, 363 nt
Filed under: Triticum aestivum (bread wheat)
Lineage: Eukaryota; Viridiplantae; Streptophyta; Magnoliopsida; Poales; Poaceae
Description: partial small subunit ribosomal RNA
Source: RNAcentral
AUGGACCACCCCCAUCUUGGACUCCUCGAGUCGGUGUUCAUUGAGGACAAAAUCAAGCCUAACCGGUGGGAUAGUGAGGAAGGUACUACCUCCGAGCUCACAGGAGUAGCUGAUCAAUGUGCUUGGGAACCAUUCAUGCGUGAUCACGGAGUGACCAGCUGGGCCAAGUUGUUGGACAACGUCUCGAUGAUGACACCUGUUUCAGGGUUCUUUUCUUGUGAUCUCGUGACGACAUGCACUCCUUUUAGAGUUCUCUUCUUGUGCUCACCCAACGUCCGCCACGCUUCGGUCAAACCUCUCUUCGUAAUGUGCGGAGCUAGUGCCUCAGACACCUCAGGCUCAUCAAGGUUGACAAGUUUUUGA